Picea glauca (white spruce) is the source of this 119-nucleotide non-coding RNA. The record is from Rfam. NCBI's taxonomy places the organism in Eukaryota, Viridiplantae, Streptophyta, Pinopsida, Pinales, Pinaceae.
GGGUGCGAUCAUACCAGCGUUCAUGCACCGGAUCCCAUCAGAGCGUUGUAGUUAAGCACGCUUGGGCUAGAGUAGUAUUGCGAUGGGUGACCUCCCGGGAAGUCCUAGUGUUGCACCCU